GAGGAGGACCGGACUGCAGCGCCGUCCCUGAAUUAUUGGGGAUGAGUGAGGAAAGUCCGGACUUCGUAGAGCAGAGUGCUGGCUAACGGCCAGGCGGGGAAACCCGACGGAAAGUGCAACAGAAAAUACAAAGCCUAAGGCGAAAGUCCGGCAAUGGUGAAAUCGUGAGGUAAGAGCUCACGGGCGUCCGUGGCGACACGGCGUUUGGCAAACCCCACUCGAAGCAAGACCAAAUAGGGGCGAAGGAUUGGCUCGAUCCGCUCGACGCUCGGGUUGGUUGCAAGGACCCUGCCGGCAACGGUUUGGGCAAGAGAAAUUGUAGUCGUCGACAGAAUCCGGCUUACAGGUUCUCCUCGCAU
This 359-nucleotide RNase P RNA is filed under the name bacterium. RNAcentral's name for it is "RNase P RNA component class A". It matches the Rfam family "Bacterial RNase P class A". Rfam says of the family: Ribonuclease P (RNase P) is a ubiquitous endoribonuclease, found in archaea, bacteria and eukarya as well as chloroplasts and mitochondria. The record is from RNAcentral.